Molecule: long non-coding RNA, 2381 nt
Organism: Cheilinus undulatus (humphead wrasse)
Lineage: Eukaryota; Metazoa; Chordata; Actinopteri; Labriformes; Labridae
Exons: 3
Source: RefSeq, a predicted model, not a curated record
UAAAGACACCACGGAGCUCAGACAUCACAGCUUCACGGCCGUGAAGGCAACUUACACUGUAAGCAAUGCAGCCUCGGUUAUGAUAACCGUGUUAAAACAGAGGAACACGUAAGACAUAGCAUGAAGAGGGAGGACUUCUUCUCAAGCUGGGAGGAAGUUAAAACUGGACAUGAACACAACAGGACAAGAUUUAGCUGCAUAGGCUGGUUGCAGGAUUUAAAGGCAGCAGCAAACAUCACUGGAUAGAGCAAAAUCAAGCAAGAGAGAAGACGAGGAUGUUGUCAGCAGGCCAUCAAGCAGACUGAAUGUGGAGAGACUUUGUAAAGGUGAACAAGGUUCAGCUUCUACAGAUGUAAUUGACCAUGUUGAUGCAUUUAAUACAGGCCUUAUUUAAAGCUUUUAUGACAUGCUAAACUAUUUUCACAUACCCUCUAUGCUAUUUUAAAGGCUGUGUCUGCCACAUUUAGAAGUGCGAGUUCAAACACUUCCAGACACAAAGACACAGCCGUGGUCUUGUCUGAACAAGUCAUCCAUUAGAAGCCAAUGUUUUGACACCAAUCCCUCAAAAGAAAAGGAUCUAUAAAGACGAACGACUGCCCUUCUGAGGACAUCCAUCAACACCUUUUAACACCUGUCUGUGCACGUUGAGCUGAGAGAGAAACACAGGUGGUGUAAGAUUUAAAUGUUCAUACAGGACUGCCUUUAAGUGCCUUAUCAUUAUUUUUUAUUCCAUAAUCUGUUGAAAAUGCCCUUCAUAGUGAAGCAGCCCAUCUAAAAGCAGCUGUUAGCAGGCAUAUCAUUUUCCUUGUUGUCUUGGGGCUUGACUGUUCCCUAAAUAACAAAUUAUUAAUCUUCAAAAAGGCAGCUGUAUCUAGGACAUCUUAAAUGAGAAAUCCCUGCUUGAUGUGUUUUUUUUUUCCAAAGAUGAAUGCAGCAGCAGUUUGUAACUCCAGGAGCUCAAAUAUAACAGUGGUAAUUUAUCAGCUGACAGUAUUUGAAAGCAACAUGUUAAAAAUAAUCUUGACACGUGUGUCAGGAUUCAGAAGAGGCUCUCACAUGAGAGGUCCUCAGUGUCAGUGCACCCACUAGAAGAGACUGCAUUUUGUAGGUUACUGAGCCACAUGAUUACAGUUAAAUUAUUGAUGUAUGAAUUCCUGACAUUCUUAUCUCUGUGAUCACUGUGCACUUCUUGUUUUUUGAUCAUUUCUGAGGAAACGCUUACACCGGAACCAAGAACUUGUCAAAUAAGCCCGUCUUACAGUGACACUGUUUGUGCACAGCCACUCAUAUUGUGAAACAGGGUGUGGCCACGUGAGCCAUGCAGGGGUGUAAGCUGUACAGGUGGAAAAUGAGACAAGAUGGAUAAAUGAGGAGCCAGAGAGUCACAUGUUCAGAUGCAUGUUCACAUAUCAGAUGCAGGAAAGAUUGACACCUUUCUAAAUAUACAUGUCUCUGUUACUGUCAGGGGUUCUUUUCUAUAACUGAUUUCAUCAUCUUUAAAUAAGUCUAUACAAGGGUUUAAAAGUCAUCAUAGAUGCAAGCUGUUCUAUGCAAAUUAAUAUAAUCAGGCAAGCAACAGUUGAUAAGAGGGAUCAAUGGUUCUGUUAUGCUUUAUUCAUCCAACUCUUUGUUUGAGCUGCAGAAUUUUAAAUUUUGAUACUAUUAACAUGGGAAUCAAACAAUGUUGAUGCCAAUUUUGGUACCAUGGCAACAAAAAAGAAUGCCAAGGCAGACAAAAUAUGAAAUAUGUUUGGUUCUCAUUACCAAAACAUGCAGGUUAACUCUUACACUCUAGUGAAAUUGCUCAAAUACCUUGUUGAUCUAUUUAUCCAAUUUAGACAGCACUGUCUCUUUUUCACUUGCUGUAACUUUUGCUAAAAAAUAUGACAAACGAUGAAGAUCUGGAGUGUUUUUAAAGCUUCAGUACAACAAUACUAUCAAUAUCAUUUUAAAUAGGCUGCAGGGUAUCAGGCCCAUAGACAUAAUAUACAUAGACGCCUCAUUGACUGUGUUUGCCGCUGUGAUACGUCAGCGUGUCAACCAUAUUGCCAGAGGCAAGACUGUUCCAUAAACAAAUGCAAGUAUAUGAGGGAUGAAGGGUUUCUGAUCAAUAAACACACCUGUUUACAUUUAAGUGGCGGUAAUGAGUCGUUUGUAUAUAAAGUGGUAUAGAGGUCUUUUCUGGAAUAGGAACUCAACAUAACACACUUCAAGACCCUUAUUAUAUCAAUUGAUGUCAUACCAAGCAGGGGUCAAUGUUCCUGAAUGAACUGUUUCAAAAUUGCAUUAAUACACAAAAAACAUUGAGCCUUAAGGGUUUUGAAGGAUUCAGCCACUUUGACCAGUGAUGUAGCCAGACUUUUCUGACAGGGGUGGCCCAG